GAUGAACGCUGGCGGUAUGCUUAACACAUGCAAGUCGAACGGACUCUUCGGAGUUAGUGGCGGACGGGUGAGUAACGCGUGAGAAUCUGGCUUCUGGUUCGGGAUAACAGUGGGAAACGACUGCUAAUACCGGAUGUGCCUGCGGGUAAAAGGCUUGCUGCCAGAAGAUGAGCUCGCGUCUGAUUAGCUAGUUGGUGGGGUAAGAGCCUACCAAGGCGACGAUCAGUAGCUGGUCUGAGAGGAUGAUCAGCCACACUGGGACUGAGACACGGCCCAGACUCCUACGGGAGGCAGCAGUGGGGAAUUUUCCGCAAUGGGCGAAAGCCUGACGGAGCAAUACCGCGUGAGGGAAGAAGGCUCUUGGGUUGUAAACCUCUUUUCUCAGGGAAUAAGAAAGUGAAGGUACCUGAGGAAUCAGCAUCGGCUAACUCCGUGCCAGCAGCCGCGGUAAUACGGAGGAUGCAAGCGUUAUCCGGAAUGAUUGGGCGUAAAGCGUCCGCAGGUGGUUAUUCAAGUCUGCCGUUAAAGAGUCUGGCUUAACCAGAUAAAGGCGGUGGAAACUGAAAGACUAGAGUGCGGUAGGGGCAGAGGGAAUUCCCAGUGUAGCGGUGAAAUGCGUAGA
Molecule: ribosomal RNA, 622 nt
Filed under: uncultured bacterium
Lineage: Bacteria
Description: bacterial SSU rRNA
Rfam family: Bacterial small subunit ribosomal RNA
Source: RNAcentral